GUUGAGUCAGUUUAUGUUGAGUUUUGUGAGUCUUCUAGCCAAAGUAAUUGAUAAGUUCAGUUGUUGGAGCAUGCUGUUAGAUUGAAUAUGUGUGAUAACUUGAUCUUUCCCUACUUAAAAAUUGAGAGUUUGUGAUUGACAGUGUGUGUUUUGAUUACAUGAUGUCUGGAAUGACAAAAUAAGGGCGAUGAGUGAAUCUAAACUACAC
This 208-nucleotide long non-coding RNA is filed under the name Salvia miltiorrhiza (redroot sage). RNAcentral describes it as "long non-coding RNA (SMIL_LNC011736)". Lineage: Eukaryota; Viridiplantae; Streptophyta; Magnoliopsida; Lamiales; Lamiaceae. The record is from RNAcentral.